This 286-nucleotide unclassified non-coding RNA is filed under the name Chaetomiaceae sp. RNAcentral's name for it is "partial contains 5.8S ribosomal RNA, internal transcribed spacer 2, and large subunit ribosomal RNA". The stretch from base 1 to 71 matches the Rfam family "5.8S ribosomal RNA", at positions 84 to 154 of the family's 154-position model. Lineage: Eukaryota; Fungi; Ascomycota; Sordariomycetes; Sordariales; Chaetomiaceae. The record is from RNAcentral.
GUGAGUCAUCGAAUCUUUGAACGCACAUUGCGCCCGCCAGUAUUCUGGCGGGCAUGCCUGUUCGAGCGUCAUUUCAACCAUCAAGCCCCCGGCUUGUGUUGGGGACCUGCGGCUGCCGCAGGCCCUGAAAACCAGUGGCGGGCUCGCUAGUCACUCCGAGCGUAGUAAUACAUCUCGCUCAGGGCGUGCUGCGGGUUCCGGCCGUUAAAAAGCCUUAUUUACCCAAGGUUGACCUCGGAUCAGGUAGGAAGACCCGCUGAACUUAAGCAUAUCAAUAAGCGGAGGA